GGGAAACUGCCUGAUGGAGGGGGAUAACUACUGGAAACGGUAGCUAAUACCGCAUAACGUCGCAAGACCAAAGAGGGGGACCCUCGGGCCUCUUGCCAUCAGAUGUGCCCAGAUGGGAUUAGCUAGUAGGUGGGGUAACGGCUCACCUAGGCGACGAUCCCUAGCUGGUCUGAGAGGAUGACCAGCCACACUGGAACUGAGACACGGUCCAGACUCCUACGGGAGGCAGCAGUGGGGAAUAUUGCACAAUGGGCGCAAGCCUGAUGCAGCCAUGCCGCGUGUAUGAAGAAGGCCUUCGGGUUGUAAAGUACUUUCAGCGGGGAGGAAGGGAGUAAGGUUAAUAACCUUGCUCAUUGACGUUACCCGCAGAAGAAGCACCGGCUAACUCCGUGCCAGCAGCCGCGGUAAUACGGAGGGUGCAAGCGUUAAUCGGAAUUACUGGGCGUAAAGCGCACGCAGGCGGUCUGUCAAGUCGGAUGUGAAAUCCCCGGGCUCAACCUGGGAACUGCAUUCGAAACUGGCAGGCUGGAGUCUUGUAGAGGGGGGUAGAAUUCCAGGU
Molecule: ribosomal RNA, 559 nt
Filed under: uncultured bacterium
Lineage: Bacteria
Description: bacterial SSU rRNA
Rfam family: Bacterial small subunit ribosomal RNA
Source: RNAcentral